Molecule: ribosomal RNA, 467 nt
Filed under: uncultured bacterium
Lineage: Bacteria
Description: partial 16S ribosomal RNA
Rfam family: Bacterial small subunit ribosomal RNA
Source: RNAcentral
GACGAACGCUGGCGGCGUGCUUAACACAUGCAAGUCGAACGGAAAGGCUCCAGCUUGCUGGAGUACUCGAGUGGCGAACGGGUGAGUAACACGUGGGUAAUCUGCCCUGCACUCUGGGAUAAGCCUGGGAAACUGGGUCUAAUACUGGAUAUGACCUUUCUCCUUAUGGGGUUUGGUGGAAAGUUUUUCGGUGUAGGAUGAGCCCGCGGCCUAUCAGCUUGUUGGUGGGGUGAUGGCCUACCAAGGCGACGACGGGUAGCCGGCCUGAGAGGGUGAUCGGCCACAUUGGGACUGAGAUACGGCCCAGACUCCUACGGGAGGCAGCAGUGGGGAAUAUUGCACAAUGGGCGGAAGCCUGAUGCAGCGACGCCGCGUGAGGGAUGACGGCCUUCGGGUUGUAAACCUCUUACAGCAGGGACGAAGCGUAAGUGACGGUACCUGCAGAAGAAGCACCGGCUAACUAUGUG